GGGUUAAAAGGAAAGAAAGUGAGUUCACAUUCCUCUUGCCAAGGAUGAAAGAGGUCCUGCACAACACAUGUAAGGUUGAGACACUGCUGCUCACUUCAUAGCAUCAAACCAGGGUUGUUU
Small nuclear RNA from Talpa occidentalis (Iberian mole), 120 nucleotides. The record is from RefSeq and is a predicted model, not a curated record. Lineage: Eukaryota; Metazoa; Chordata; Mammalia; Eulipotyphla; Talpidae.